Pongo pygmaeus (Bornean orangutan) is the source of this 4227-nucleotide RNA transcript. It is a transcript of the gene named serine protease 41, with no coding region annotated. The transcript is spliced from 6 exons. The record is from RefSeq and is a predicted model, not a curated record. NCBI's taxonomy places the organism in Eukaryota, Metazoa, Chordata, Mammalia, Primates, Hominidae.
GGCCUGAGAGGCCCCAAACAGCCCUCGGGCCCGGUUUGGGAGGAUUAAGCUGGAGCUCCCACCCCGCCCUGCUCCCAGAGGGCGCCCCGGGCCCGGCGCGAGAGGAGGCAGAGGGGGCGCCAGGCCGCGCGAGAGGAGGCAGAGGGGGCGCCAGGCCGCGCGAGAGGAGGCAGAGGGGGCGCCAGGCCGCGGGAGAGGAGGCAGAGGGGGCGCCCCGGGCCCGGCGCGAGAGGAGGCAGAGGGGGCGCCAGGCCGCGGGAGAGGAGGCCAUGGGCGCGCGCGGGGCGCUGUUGCUGGCGCUGCUGCUGGCGCGGGCUGGACUCGGGAAGCCGGAGUCGCAGGAGGCGGAGCUGUUGUCAGGUCCCGAGAACGUGAUGCUCUCAAAGGCCUGCGGCCACCGGGAAAUUCACUCGCUGGUGGCGGGCGGAGUGGAGUCCGCGCGCGGGCGCUGGCCAUGGCAGGCCAGCCUGCGCCUCAGGAGACGCCACCGAUGUGGAGGGAGCCUGCUCAGCCGCCGCUGGGUGCUCUCGGCUGCGCACUGCUUCCAAAAGCACUACUAUCCCUCCGAGUGGACGGUCCAGCUGGGCGAGCUGACUUCCAGGCCAACUCCUUGGAACCUGCGGGCCUACAGCAGUCGUUACAAAGUGCAGGACAUCAUUGUGAACCCUGGCGCACUUGGGGUUCUACGCAAUGACAUUGCCCUGCUGAGACUGGCCUCUUCUGUCACCUACAAUGCGUACAUCCAGCCCAUUUGCAUCGAGUCUUCCACCUUCACCUUCGUGCACCGGCCGGACUGCUGGGUGACCGGCUGGGGGUUAAUCGGCCCCAGAGGCAGUGAGGCUGAGGAUAGACCGGGUGGGGUGAUGGGGGUGCGGGGAGGGCAUUACCCUCUACCCCUGUUCCCGCUACACAAGCACAGCAGCCCCCUCCUUAGUCUGGGGGUGCAACCUGCGCCCCUCCUGCUCUCAUUCUCUCCUCACUUGCUUUUCUGCUCUCACUGCCACCUGCCAGGGCAGGGACCAAACACCCAGUUCUUCCCCCUUCCAGGGACUGUGGGGGCCAGCAGGACAGUGUGAGAGGGAGGCCAGCUUGGCCUGGGCCUGAAGGAGUGAGGGGGAGUUCGCUGGUGACAGAAGCCUCAGGCAAUGAUUUUUAAAAAUUGAGGCAACUCACAAACCAUAAAAUUUUCAAGUGUUCAGUGUUGAAGUACACAAUUCAGUGAUUUUUAGCCUACAGUCAUGUGUCACUUAAUGACUGGGAUAUGUUCUGAGAUAUGCAUCAUGAGGCAGUUUCAUCAUUGUGUCAACAUCAUGGAGUGUAGUUACACAAACCCAGAUGGCAGAGCCUGCUACACACCCAGACUGUGUGGUCUAGCCCAUUGCUCCUGGGCCACAAACCUGUGCAGCUUGUUACUGCACUGAAUACCAGAGCAGUUGUAACACACUGGUAAGUACUUACGUACUUAAACGUAUCUAAACAGAGAAGAGGUACAGUAAAGAUACGGCAUAAAAGAUAAAAACCAGGCCAGGCGCGAGAGCCUGUAAUCCCAGCACUUUGGGAGGCCGAGGCAGGUGAACUACCCACCUCGGCCUCCCAAAGUGCGGGGAUUACAGGUGUGAGCCACCGUGCCCAGCCGUUUUAUCAAUUAUUAAUAAUGAGCUAUUAACAUCUCCAACUAUUGUGGUAGAACUGUCUAUUUCUCCCACCAAUUCUGUCAAUUUUGCUUUAUAUGUUUUGGGGAUCUGUUGUUAGGUAUGAAGAUGUUUAUGAUUGGUAUAUUUUCUUGAUGAUUUGAUUGUUUUAUCAAUAUGUAAUGUUGUUCUUGGACUCUUAUAACAAGUUUGCAUUAAAUUCUAUUUUGUCUGAUAGAGUAUAGCAACCUCAGCUCUCUUUUGGUUACUAUUUUUAUGGAGCUUUUUCCCAACCUUUCACUUUCAGCCUGUGUGUUUCACUGGAUCUAAAGUGAAUCUCUUAUAAGGAGCGCCUAUCUGGAUCCAGUGAUUUUUUUAAAAGCCAUUUUAUCAGUCUCUGCUUUUUAUUUGGAGCGUUCAAGCCCUUUACAUUAAGAGUAAUUAAUUACAGAUCUGCAAAGAAUUACUUCUGCCAUUUUGUUACUUGGUUUUUAGAUCUCAUCAUAUCUUUUUUCUAUACUGAUGUUUUAUAUUUCUUUUGUUUUUUAUUUCCUCAUUUUUGUUUAACUGAUUGUUUUAGAGUACCAUUUUGAUUCCCUUCUUAUUUCCUUCUCUGUGUUUAUUUUGCUUUGUUAGUGGUUGCUCUAGGGAUUACAAUUAAUAUUUAAACCUUAUAACAACCUACUUUGAAUUUAUACCAACUUAGCUUCAAUAGUAUUAAAAAAAUCUCUGUUUCUAUAUGGCUCCAUUCCUCCACUUUAUGUUGUUAUUGUCACAAUUUACAUCUUUAUUCAUUGUGUAACCUUUAACCUAGAUUUAUAAUUAUUGUUUUAUGUAUUUGUCAUUUAAAUUACAUAAGAAAAAGAGGAGUUACACACCAAAACUACAAUAAUACUGACUUUUAUAUUUACCUGUGUAGUUGUCUUAACCAGGGCUCUUUAUUUGUUUGUACGACUUUGAGUUACUCUCUAGUGUUCUUUCAUUUUAACUGGAAGGAUUCCUUUAUCCACUUCUUGUAGGAUAGGUCAACUAAUGACAAAUCUUCUCAGCUUUCGGUUAUCUGAGAAUAUCUUAAUUUCUUCUUCAUUUUUUUCCUGAUAUAAAAUUCUUGGUUGACUGUUUCUGUUAAUCUUGUUGAGGAUCCCUUGUCCUUGAUGAAUCACUUCUCUCUUCCUGUUCAUAAGAUUCUCUCUUUAUCUUUUGUUAGUUUUAUUAUAAUGUGUCUCGGUGUAAAUCUCUUUGUGUUUAUCCUAUGUGGAAUUUGCUCAGCUUCUUGAAUCUGUGGGUUCAUGUCUUUCAUCAAAUAUGGCAAGUUUUGACCUGGAUCCCACAGCUGUCGUGUGUUAAUCAUAAACAUUCUCAUCUACUGUAGCCCUUCUUCCUGCCAUGCUUUGGUUGAGAAAUCUCUCCGUGGACUCAGGCAGGGGCUAUCAUCUCCAUUCUACAGAUAGAGAAACUGAGUUUUAGGAAGCACUGCAACAGCCUGGCCCAUCCAUUAUGUUAUUCUGUAAUAUUGUUGAUUGCUCUUGAUGCACUGGGUGCUGGGGAGUCAAGAGCAAUGCUGGGUAUUGUGGGUGUGUCAGGGACCCUCUCCCCACCACUAUAACACAUGCCCUUUCUCCUCUCCCUGCUCCAGAUGGCAGAGGAGAGGUGAAGGGUGCUGUCUUUCUCUAUCCUAUCUCCAGCACCUCUGCCACCUCCUUACAACCUCCGGGAAGCACAGGUCACCAUCUUAAACAACACCAGGUGUAAUUACCUGUUUGAACAGCCCUCUAGCCGUAGUAUGAUCCGGGAUUCCAUGUUUUGUGCUGGUGCUGAGGAUGGCAGUGUAGACACCUGCAAAGUGAGUGCCUGUACCCCACCAGGGAAUCCCACCCUCUCCAGCUCUAGACCUGAGAGCAACUACCAUUUCUCCCCCAACCACUUCCAACCCAUUGCUUGGAUUUCUUAGGAGAAAACCAGCGCAGUCUUAGUUACUGAGCCUACAAAAUAUGCUUCUCAUUUUUCAUAAAUUCUGCCUACACUGAUUAACCCACCAACCCCUGGAGGCUGUUGCCCCACUUUGAAAGUGUAGAAACUGAGACUUGAUUCCAUGGGAAGGAGUAAGGUUUGCAUUCUGUCUGCCUAGCCCCACAGCCCCUCCUGCUCUCAUGACCUCUCUGCUACCCCACCCACUCUGCCCCAAGCUGGGCUCACACAUGCUGCUCCCCAGGGUGACUCAGGUGGACCCUUGGUCUGUGACAAGGAUGGACUGUGGUAUCAGGUUGGAAUCGUGAGCUGGGGAAUGGACUGCGGCCAACCCAAUCGGCCUGGUGUCUACACCAACAUCAGUGUGUACUUCCACUGGAUCCGGAGAGUGAUGUCCCACAGUACACCCAGGCCAAACCCCUCCCAGCUGUUGCUGCUCCUUGCCCUGCUAUGGGCUCCCUGACUCCUGCAGCCAUUCUGAGUGCACCAGAAACUGUGAGGCUGCAGUGAGGACCACAGUAUUGGCUCACCUCCUCUGGGCUGUGGGCACUUCAGGGACAGGGUUGGGACUGCCUGCUGGAUCGGAUUCCAGCCCCUUUUGUCUCAUUUGCUAAUAAAUACGUGUGCA